This is a non-coding RNA of Cinara cedri, 380 nucleotides long. The record is from the annotation of a GenBank genome assembly. NCBI's taxonomy places the organism in Eukaryota, Metazoa, Arthropoda, Insecta, Hemiptera, Aphididae.
CUGUCCUCGAAGCACCACGCACUCGUUCCGAUUAAACGUAACCGUCUCGCGUCAACUGCGCGUCUCUCGCCGCUCGACAACAUCCGCCGUUUCACGUCGCGACUAUCAUCCGACUUGUUCACAAUUUACAUUUUGAACGGGAAACAUUUAAAAAAAAAAAAAAAUAAUAAUAACAGUUUUCAAGAGUUUUCGCGGACCACGGUCUGCGACGGAGCGCUUACUAUUUAUUUGAGUAUAAAUAUUAAUCGGAGAAGAGCAACAAGCGGCGCCAACAAGCGAGUUUAAAGUAAUAAAAUAUUAAUAAUUAAAAACGUAGUCUGUUUCACUAUCUCCUAUCUCUUUCUAUCUGCUGUUCUAUACACUGCCUACAAAAAUGCAGC